Molecule: unclassified non-coding RNA, 251 nt
Filed under: fungal sp.
Lineage: Eukaryota; Fungi
Description: partial internal transcribed spacer region
Rfam family: Eukaryotic small subunit ribosomal RNA (bases 1-46)
Source: RNAcentral
AAGUCGUAACAAGGUAACCGUAGGUGAACCUGCGGUUGGAUCAUUAAUAAAUUUAUUAAAGGUAAUUGUGUUUGAAAGAACCUUUUACUCUUUAAACAAAUUUGUGAACCUUUAAAAGUCUUUUGGGGUAAAUUAUGUAUUUAGUUGCCCCAAAAUCAUAUCUUAAACAAAUAUUUUUAAAAAUCAAGUCUUUAAAAUCAUUUUAAAUUAAAUUUUAAAAACAACUUUUGACAACGGAUCUCUUGGCUCUC